RNAcentral lists this transfer RNA (89 nucleotides) under Muribaculaceae bacterium. RNAcentral describes it as "tRNA-Ser". It matches the Rfam family "tRNA". Rfam says of the family: Transfer RNA (tRNA) molecules are approximately 80 nucleotides in length. Their secondary structure includes four short double-helical elements and three loops (D, anti-codon, and T loops). Further hydrogen bonds mediate the characteristic L-shaped molecular structure. tRNAs have two regions of fundamental functional importance: the anti-codon, which is responsible for specific mRNA codon recognition, and the 3' end, to which the tRNAs corresponding amino acid is attached (by aminoacyl-tRNA synthetases). tRNAs cope with the degeneracy of the genetic code in two manners: having more than one tRNA (with a specific anti-codon) for a particular amino acid; and 'wobble' base-pairing, i.e. permitting non-standard base-pairing at the 3rd anti-codon position. Lineage: Bacteria; Pseudomonadati; Bacteroidota; Bacteroidia; Bacteroidales; Muribaculaceae. The record is from RNAcentral.
GGAGCGAUGCUCGAGUGGCUGAAGAGGCACGCCUGGAAAGCGUGUAUACGUCAAAAGCGUAUCGCGAGUUCGAAUCUCGCUCGCUCCGC